AGACCUCUUGAACCUUGACAAUUAUUUUUGAAACAAGCCUCCCAAGCCAAGAAAAUGACCUACUACUACUAUGGCAGAAGAAGCAACUCAAUCUUUGAUGUCUUCACUCUCAAUCCCCUACCAUACCCAGUUCUUUUAAUGUUAGCAGUCAUAUCAAUCUUUCUCGGCAUAUCAUGGUACUUCAGCUAUGAAGAAAUUGCAGAGACUGCAGAGAUGCAAAUGAAUUGGUUGCUUUUGGCCACACCACUAGUGUUGCUCUUCCUCGUCCGUUGGUUGUCAUUUAUGGAAAAUUCUGACAUGUUUGCCAAAUCACCGUGGGAAUGGAAACGGCGGACCCACCACCGUCCACCGGAGGGGAGCUCGCCCUGGGGUGUAGCUGCUUUGAUUGUGUUGCUGCUUGUUUUGGCGCAAUUCCAGUCUGCCUUUCUUGAUAGCUGGUUUUGACACUAUAUAUGCUCAAGAUACUUUUAGUUGGUUUGGUAUCAUGUGAUAUCUGAUUUCAACAUGGGUUUUGUGUUUUGAUACUUUUUGCUGGUUUGGUAUUAUACUAUUAUCUGAUUUCAUGAAGUUGGGUUUUGGGUCUUGUGUUCAUAAGAUAGACAGGUUAAAUAUAGAGUUAAUUAUAUAUGUAACUGUUAAUCAAGAGCAAAGGUUAUAGAGAGUUGGUUUUGGUAGUUAUUGUUGCAUAUGUACAGUAGAGGAUGAUGCAUUAAGCUGUAUGACUGGGAGGUUUGAUGCCUUGUUUGAUAUGGUUUUUUGUGAGAUUUUAAUGAAGAUGCCUUUAUCUUGUUGUGGGCUAUGUACGUCUAAUUGUUCCUAGUUCUUGUUGGGCUAAGUUGAAGUCUUGAUUCAAAUCAAGCAUCUAAAGUUAAAUUUAUUCAUUGCUGACAAAACUUUACCCCUGUUUGGAUGCUGAGAAAAUUAAGGUAAUGUGAAGAAAUCAUGUGGAUGUGGUUAAUUUUUAGUCCAAUAUUAGUAUUAUUGUUUUCUUCUCUCGAUAUCUCUAAUAAAGACAAAUAAUGUUCACAAUUCUGCA
RNAcentral lists this unclassified non-coding RNA (1036 nucleotides) under Hevea brasiliensis (rubber tree). Lineage: Eukaryota; Viridiplantae; Streptophyta; Magnoliopsida; Malpighiales; Euphorbiaceae. The record is from RNAcentral.